AAAGAAACUAACGAGGAUUCCCCUAGUAACUGCGAGUGAAGCGGGAAAAGCUCAAAUUUAAAAUCUGGCGGUCUUUGGCCGUCCGAGUUGUAAUUUAGAGAAGCGUCUUCCGCGUCGGACCGUGCACAAGUCUCCUGGAAUGGAGCGUCAUAGAGGGUGAGAAUCCCGUCUUUGGCACGGAUGCCCGGUGCUCUGUGAUGCGCUCUCAAAGAGUCGAGUUGUUUGGGAAUGCAGCUCAAAAUGGGUGGUGAACUCCAUCUAAAGCUAAAUAUUGGCGAGAGACCGAUAGCGAACAAGUACCGUGAGGGAAAGAUGAAAAGCACUUUGGAAAGAGAGUGAAACAGUACGUGAAAUUGUUGAAAGGGAAACGCUUGAAGUCAGUCGCGUCGGCCGAGACUCAGCCUUGCCGCAGGCUUGGUGUACUUCUCGAUCGAUGGGCCAGCAUCAGUUUUGCUUCUCAGAUAAUGGCAAGGGAAAGGUGGCACCCUCACGGGUGUGUUAUAGUCUCCUGUCGCAUGUGAGGGGUGGGAUUGAGGAACUCAGCACGCACCUUUCAGGUGUCGGGGCUUCGGCCCACGUUACGUGCUUAGGAUGUUGGCGUAAUGGCUUUAAACGACCCGUCUUUGAA
This 628-nucleotide ribosomal RNA is filed under the name Lactifluus goossensiae. RNAcentral's name for it is "eukaryotic LSU rRNA". It matches the Rfam family "Eukaryotic large subunit ribosomal RNA", at positions 58 to 659 of the family's 3401-position model. Lineage: Eukaryota; Fungi; Basidiomycota; Agaricomycetes; Russulales; Russulaceae. The record is from RNAcentral.